RNAcentral lists this ribosomal RNA (405 nucleotides) under uncultured bacterium. RNAcentral's name for it is "partial 16S ribosomal RNA". It matches the Rfam family "Bacterial small subunit ribosomal RNA", at positions 28 to 526 of the family's 1533-position model. The record is from RNAcentral.
GAUGAACGCUGGCGGCGUGCCUAAUACAUGCAAGUCGAGCGAAGCGGGGACGGGUGAGUAACACGUGGAUAACCUCCUAUAAGACUGGGAUCACUUCGGGAAACCGGAGCUAAACCGGAUAGUUUUAGAUGGAUCAGCGCUGCAUUAGCUAGUUGGUAAGGUAACGGCUUACCAAGGCAACGAUGCAUAGCCGACCUGAGGUGGUGAUCGGCCACACUGGAGCUUGGACACGGUCCAGACUCCUAGUGGACGCAGCAUGAGGGAAUCUUCGGCAAUGGGCGAAAGCCUGACAGGGCAACGCCGCUUGUGUGAUGAAGGUAUUCGGAUCGUAAAACUCUGAUAUUAGGGAAGCGGUACCUAAUCAGAAAGCCACGGCUAACUACGUGCCAGCAGCCGCGGUAAUUC